AAGCAGUAAUUGAUCUGUCAUUGAAGAAAACUGGACCAAUUCAAUACAAAUGCAAUGCAAUUGAAAACUUUGAUAACCACUGAGUACAUAGAACAAAUCUGAUUAACAUAUCUCAUCAACUGCUUUUAUGACACAUUGUUUAAAUUGUAAAGAGACUUUGUG
This is a long non-coding RNA of Sphaeramia orbicularis (orbiculate cardinalfish), 162 nucleotides long. RefSeq lists it as uncharacterized. The transcript is spliced from 3 exons. The record is from RefSeq and is a predicted model, not a curated record. NCBI's taxonomy places the organism in Eukaryota, Metazoa, Chordata, Actinopteri, Kurtiformes, Apogonidae.